This 10823-nucleotide long non-coding RNA is filed under the name Elaeis guineensis (African oil palm). Its description in RNAcentral is "long non-coding RNA (EGUI_LNC027085)". The record is from RNAcentral. Lineage: Eukaryota; Viridiplantae; Streptophyta; Magnoliopsida; Arecales; Arecaceae.
GCAAUGCCUUUUGGCUAUGUGAAGGAGCGCCUGGACUUCGUGGACUUCGACAAGUUUGAGUGCAAGCAAAGCCUGAUCGAAGGCGGCGAUCUCGGGAAGAAGAUCGAGUCAGCCUCGACCCAGUUCAAGUUCGAGCAAACCAGCAAGGGAGUGUGUGUGUGCAAGGUGGUCACAACCUAUAAGCCAUUACCAGGAGUUGAGAACAAGGAUGAGGUAGCCAAGGCAAAGGAAGCAGUGACCGCGAUCAUCAAGGCAGCAGAGGCCCACCUCCUGGCCAACCCUGGUUCCUACGCUUGAAGUGGUUCGGGUUUGAGCUCAUACACCUGGUGGUGUGACAGAGAACUAUAAUCAGCAAGAGUUUGCGUACGUUUUGGAGUGAGCGUUUGCGAGGUUGUUCUGGUUGUUUCCAUGCUUUCCUUUUCUACUGAGUGCCUCUCUAUGGAAAAUAAUUAAAUAAAUAAACCAACUGGUUUAGUGUGUGUAUGGCAGAUUUGUGAACCUUCUUAUAAUGCCAUCAGAUUUACAUAAAAGAAAUUGAAAAAAAAAAAAGUAUAUUUGAAAGAAAAAAAGGAGCAAAAUUAUGGCCGUCUUGUCAAGUGCUUCAGGCUUUUAUUUUGUCCUUACAAAUUUGAUUUUAUCCAACUAUUUUCACUCGCUUGGCAUUUUAUUCGUGUGCUAUUCACCCAAAUAGAUUUUUGACUAACUGAUGACUUGAGUUAGUUUGUACUGGUUAAAAGAUCAAUUCUUCGGUCAUCCCAUAGCCUCUCGAGUAGGGUUAAUUACAAGCUCCCGCAAGCAAUGACCCAUCAAGGAUUCUGCUUAUAUUACUAUGUACCGGUACACAUCCACCAUGGGACUAAGACUUAAAAACUUGCUAUUUGGAUUAUCCCACAUAUCAUUCUUUUUGGUAUGAUGGGCUUGAUAUACAUCCAAUCAAACCGUUUUAGAUAGGUUAAUACUGAAUCUAGAAAGGGUAGCAAAUUUUUUUCUUCAAUGAGCCAACUAGGCUAAUAGAGUCCUCCAAACAUCAUUCCUCUAGCUAGCUUGUAUAAAUUCCUCGAUAAAGAUAUCUCAUUACAAAAACCAUUUGCUCUUCCGAGGAAAAAACUUUUUAUAUAUCCUAAUAAGUUUGUUUAUAACCACCAUAUUACAAGCCUAUAAGUAGCUACAACAGCCUCCUUAGUAGUGGUGGAUUAUCUACAGGUAGACUUGGAUUUGACCAACACCAUUAAAGAGUGAAUUUAGAUUUUAUUGUUCAUAGAAAAGAAUGAUUGUUCUACUUUUGCGAUAUCGACCAUUGAAUCAUAUCUUGCACAAAUUUCAAAGUAUUUUAAUUUUUUUAUUUAGGACCUACGCAAGUCUUAAAGUCGCAAUUGCAUGAUCUAACAGUGGAUUUGUAUGAAGGAAGGUGAAUUCUUCUUUUGUGCAAAAAAGAUAAACCCUAUCCUUAAAGAGUAGCUAGGCUAAACUUGAUCCAGCAUUGCUAUAAUCCAGCAUGACAUAGACUAGGUUCCAUGCACAGUUCAUAACUUUGACCUGACACAACCCAAGCAAGCUUUGAUUUAAACUGAGCACACAUUAAAAGCAAACCAUAGGUUGCUAUUUUUACCAUUGAUUUUGUUAAAACAACUAAGAGAUCACAUGAAAUUUUGUAAUUACUUUCAUGGAAUUUAAAUUUUUCAACACGCACAUUUUCUGGGAUGGAACCUGUGAAUUCUUAGAUGCUACAUGCAUACUGAACUUUAUCAAGAAACAUUCAUGCAUCCUAACAUCUAAUAUUGGCCAUGAGGGCUCUACGACUUCAUAAUUGAGUCGGCCUUGUGUCAUACACUCACAGUCUAAAUGUUUAAGCUAUAAAGAGCACGAUCGGCCACCUUAAUGAAUUUAUAUGAGGUCGCUUUAUUAGUCAAUAUGAAAUUAUAACAUUUUUCUCUACCCUGGUGAUAUCCUCGUUAUCAAUGGCGCUUAUUCGAAGAGAGGGGCCUACCAUGGCCUAAGUUCUUCUCUCAACAAAAAGUCUAGAUGGCUAAUGAAGUUUGAGACGUACAAUAGGCGUAACUUUGACAUCACUUGUCACAGUUUCACGGUCCAAAACAAAGCUAUCGGAAGGACCGGCCGAACUAAUGGGCUCUUAUGACAAUUUUUUAUUAGUCAAUAUUGGAGCAUGACAUUUAGUUGCUCCGUCGCGAUAUGAGUGGAUAUGCGUCUCCGUUCCGUUCUGUGACGCUACCACCGUAAGACCGGCGCCUUCUUGCCCUGCGGCUGCGGGGCACGUCAUUCCGUCAAAAUCUCCGCCUUGAACCUUGAACCCUUUGCACUUCAGAAAACAAGCCUUCCGCAGGGGAACAAAAAGCAUGGAAGCAGGCCCCUCCGCUUGGGAAAAUAUUUGUGGCAGCGGUGGCACCACAUUAAAUUUAUCAUAAUUUAAUAAAAAUAUUUAUAUUUCAUCGAAUAUCAUGAAUAAUAUUCCAUUCUAACGAUCGAGUUUCGAUUUUUGAUUAAAUUGUGACAGUUUUUUUUUUUUUUUGUACGCGGUAUCUCUUCGAUUGUAGAGCUCCUGCCACAUACAUCAACGGGAUUUUAAUGUGCAAAAAAGAAAAUCUAAAUUUAUAUGCUGGAUUCAAACGCGUGUUAGAAUUUAUAUGCUGGAUUUUGCUGUGACAUGUGCAGACUGCGGAGCUGAUCAAGCCGCCUCAUAAAUUUCUUUGAGGACGGCAAAGUUUUUCCAGACCAUAAUAAUUUUUUUUGUAAAGACCCAGACCAUAAUAAUUAAUGCAAGCUACAGCCCUCAAAACCUGAUCAGGUAGGGAGAAGGCUGCUGGUAGAUUGGCAUGCCGGGAGGAAGAUCUGUGCCCAUCUUCCUGCAUGUAAGAAAUAAAAAGAAGAGCGUGAAGAUUGUCAGAGCAGAUCCAAUCAAAAAUCCUCUGAUAUGCUCAAGUUAAAUAAGAUUUUAAAGAAUUAUAGGAGAUGAAAUUAUACAACCAAAGAAAAAUGUAUGUUUGGCAUCCUUUCAUAGGCGAAGGAUCCUUAACCCAAUGACAAUUGGAUUGGUGUUUGGAUUGAAUUCGGAUCAAAUUAUCAAUCCAAAUGAAAUCUAUUUGUUAAGUAAAUUAGAAAUUCUGAUUUAAAUCUUAUUUAUUUAUUAAAUAGAUAAUCUAUAAUUCUUUUAUUAAUAGAUCAAAUUAAAUUAAAAUUAUUUUUAAUAGAUUAAAGAGAUUUAAAUAAAUUAAACAGUUUAAGUGGAUCAGAUUAAACAUAACAAAAAUAAAUUAAACAGAUUUUAAAUAAAUGAAGUAGAUUUUGAAUGGAUUAAAUGAAUCAAAUUAUGAUUUAAUUAAAUUAUUAAAUAGUUAAAAUAGAUUAAAUGGAUUAAAGAUCUAAAUUUAAAUCUAAUUCAUUUAAUAAAUAGAUAUCGACCGGCUAAUGAGAAUGGUUAAUUUAAACAAACGUGCAUGUGACCCCAGCCCGCAUAUUGGUUAUUAGUAAAAAAAUGGUUAUUAUAAAUUUAUACUGCUCUUUAGCUCCUUCGUUUUCCCGUUGUUAUAGCAAUAAAACAGAAAAAGCGAUAACAGACGUUAUAGUGGGUUAUUGGGCAAUAUAACAAUUUAUUAUAAUCUAAACAAUCUCCAGAUAACUAAGGUUUAUCUAGCCUGAAAAUAAUACUAUUUAUUAAAUAACACUUAGAGAAUAGAGGGUCGGUUUUCAUAUAUUAUUUUAAUAUUAAAAGUUUAAAAUCAUAAGCUGCGGCGGGGGGGGCCAUAUAUUGACUGUUAUAAUCAUCAUAAAUGUACGAAUACGGUUGACUAAAACAAAACCUUGAUGCGAGACACCUAGCUACCCCUCUCCCACGCACUUCUUUCCUCCCUUCAUUUUCUUAGUCAGCAGUUUAGCAAAUUAAAGAACGCUGCCCAAAACCAGCAUGCGUGCUUCUUGGUUUAAAUACCUACCAUUCCACCCAAACCCUCUCCACCGUCCAUAUGGUCCGGGAUUUGCUCCGGUUCACUUGCACCUGGUGCAUGCAACAAUUUCUCCUAUAAAAUCCCCAUCCCUUGCUCACCAUUCUCCAUCUCAUUUUCGCUCACCACAACUCAGUAGAAGGAUUGAAGCCUAGGAAAACAAUCCAAUUUAACCAUGAGUCCCUCCAUUUGGACCCUCGAGAUCGAGUCUCCGGUCCCCGCCGCAAGGCUGUUCAAGGCGGUCCUCGACUGGCACAGCCUGGCCCCUAAGCUCCUCCCCAACAUCGUCGCAAGCGCCGUCGGUGUCCAAGGUGACGGCAGCGUCGGAAGUGUCCGGCAGCUCAACUUCACCUCAGGUAUGUAUUACAACCAGCACCUCUGAAAUUUUUCUAGUCUUAAUUAUCUGUAUAUAUUUCAUGUACUUAAGAGCUGGUGCCAUUCAUAUUUGUAGCAAUGCCAUUUGGGUAUGUGAAGGAGCGCCUGGACUUUGUGGACUUCGACAAGUUUGAGUGCAAGCAAAGCCUGAUCGAAGGCGGUGAUCUCGGAAAGAAGAUUGAGUCCGCCUCGACCCAGUUCAAGUUCGAGCAAACCAGCAAGGGAGGGUGUGUGUGCAAGGUGGUGACAACCUAUAAGCCAUUACCAGGAGUUGAGAACAAGGAUGAGGUAGCCAAGGGAAAGGAAGCGGUAACCGGGAUCAUCAAGGGAGCAGAGGCCUUCCUUUUGGCCAAUCCUGGUGUCUACGCUUGAAGUUGUUCGGGUUUGAGCUCAUAUACCUGGUGGUGUGAUGGGACCAUGAUCAGCAAGAGUUUGCGUUUGGUGUGAGCGUUUGCGAGGUUGUUCUGGUUGUUUCCAUGCUUUCCUUUUCUAGAUGAGUGCACCGCUAUGAAAAAUAAUUAAAUAAAUAAACCAGCUGGUUUAGCGUGCGUAUGGCAGAUUUGCGAUCCUUUUUACAUUGCCAUCAGAAUUACAUAAAAGAAAUGGAAAAAAAGCAUAUUUGAAGAAAAAAUAAAAGAGAAAAAUUAUGAUGUCACAUUCCGAUACUGUGGUCCAAGCUGGAUACAGAACAGAUUACCGCACGCCCUUAGAGUUUAACCCCAGACAUACAUGCAAGGCUUGCCUUUAUUUUUCAAAAAUAUCAUAUCAAACCAUACCCAUACCCAGAGAGCGGUAGUAAAAACAAAUUUCUAAUUUUAUUAAUUCAAAUAAAAAUAAUUCAUUAAUAAUUUUUAAAAUUUAUUAAUAUAAAUUAAAAUAAAUAUUUAUUCAAAAAAUAAAUGUUCUUUAAGAUCUUAAGCUCCUCGCUGCUUGCUCUCAGUCCCCAUAUAUUUCUUUUGGAUCAAAAAAAAAAAAAGUUACCAAUAUCUCCGAAGGCUCAAAUAUAAUUAUAUUCUUUUCCAAACAUAAUAAUUGACAAUAAUAGAUGUAUAAAGUAACAUAAUUUUAAUUUUCAAAACAUGUCAUGCAUAAUAAUAAAAUUUAAAAUUCUCUUUCAGUUUUUGGUGACUACGGUCGCGAUCAAUCCCAUGACAAGACUCAGAAGAGAUGAGUUUUUAAAUACAGAACAUGCAAUCCAUCAGUGUGUACCAGUUAUCAGUCUUACUUGUUGGGCAUAGAAGGAAAUUAGCUCUGAUUCACACGGUCACAAUUAACUCUAUAUAUAGGACAAAAAGAUUCGUUCUGAAAUCAAAUAUACGAUGCGUCAGUCUGUGCCAGAGAUUAGCCAUGACUGGCUAGGCUCAGAAGAACUAACUCUGUUAGCAAUCAGUUCUGAUUGGCUAGGUAUAGAAGAAAAUAGUUUCUAAUUGUGUAGCUAAUAAUCAGUCCUGUUGGUUAGACCGAGAUUAUAGUAUACUAGAGAGUUUUUCUCAUAACCAACAUAUUUAUUUUCAUAACACAAAUUUUCAUAUUUUAUCUCUAAAAAGAAAAGAAUAUUUUUUUAUUCAAAAAAUUAUGCAAGCAUAGAACCAUGCAAUAUAGGAGAACCAUCAUAUUUAAAAUUUAUAAACAUGUUAGUGUAUAUGAUCCAUUAUUUUGAAUUUCAUAAGAUACGUAAUGUCCAAACUUUCAAUUUUCUAAAUACCAUAAUUUUUGUUCAAUUUCUAAAUUGGAAAGUACAAGAAGUAUGUUAAGUAAAAUUCCAGAGAUAAAUAGAACUAUAGUCGAUCGGAUCUAAAAUUCUACGAUCUUGAGAGCCCGAUGUCUAGGUCCGGUGCUCCACUGGUGAUGAAGGUUCUAGCACAAGCAGUUCAUAAAUUUAUUAGCCUUCAAUUUGAGAAAGAUAAAUAGAAAGAGGCUCUUAGUCUGGUACUCCUGAUCUAGAUCAAUGUUUGGGUCAGUUGGUGAGUCAGAUCUUUAUGGUUUAGAUUGACUUAAACUCAAUUGGAUUGGGUUCCGAGGGUUUACUGAAAGGUUGAAUUCUUUUUCCUCCCCUCUCUCUUUUUCUCUCUAUUCCUCUCUCUCUCUUUCUUCCUUCCUUCUCUCUCUCUCUCUAUUUCUUUCUCUUCUUUUCUCUCUUUCUCCAUCUCUUUCUCUCUCCUCUCUCUCUUUUUUUCUUCUUUUCUUUCUUCCUCUCUUCUCUUGCUGAACUGUGGUUCCACCAAGAUUUUCGAAGGGAAAGCAGAGGGGAGGAGGGGUGGGGUUGGUGGUGGCACGGCAACGACUAGAGGCACCGGCGGUCUGGUCAUGCAUAGGGGGGUCCAAGAGAAAGAGAAAGGGGCACUACCCCUUGCUACUAUGGUAGCAGCACCUAAGCCGAAAGAAAGGGAGGAGGGCUUAUCGACGGUGAAAGGCUAUGGCUAGAGAGUUCCAAUGGUAAAAAAAAAAAUACCCAAAAAACUUUUCUAAAUAGAGGAGAUAUAGAGGAUUAUGGAGGAAGGGGGUUUUUGGACGAUGGCAGUUUGAUUGCGAUAGCUCGACGGUUGUCAGAGGUGAGGAAGAAGAGAGGGGGAGGGGCUUCGAUUGUGAAUCAAUCAAGAGGAGGUGGGGUUUAAGAAGAAAAGGAUGGGAAGAGAUAGACUCGAUUCAACCGCAGAUAAAGUCAUCCUUCACUAGUAUAACCAUCCCAAAUGGCCUUCGACCAUUCCUAAUAUGCCUGUGAGGCUUAUUCAAUCGUUCGCAUGACCUUAUCCCCUUCCAUGUAAGGGAUCAGGUAGUGGAUUAGGUUCCUCUUUUUUGAUCCAAAAAAAAAUUUGAAAAUUUAUGAUGAAGUCGGCAAGUCUUGCUAACUUUAUCCCAAAUCGGAUCCAAUUGGACUGGUUCUCAUAUUUGGCCAUCCAGUCAAAUGUCUCAGUCUUUUAUUUUGUCCUUAUAAACUUGAUUUUAUUCAACUACUUUCACUUGCUUGGCAUUUUAUUUGCGUGCUAUUCAUCUGAAUAGAUUAUUGACUCAUUGAUGACUUGAGUUAGUCUAUGGAUAAGAGAUCAAUUAUUCAGCCAUCCCAUAGCCUCCUGAGCGGGGUUACAAGCUCACGCUAGUAGUGACCCAUCCUCUACUUACAUUACCAUGUAAUAGUACAGUACAUAUCCAACAUGAGACUAAGACUUGAAAAUUUGGUAUUUGGAUUAUCCCACAUAUCAUUCUUUUUGGUACCAUGAGCUUGAUAUGCACUGUAUAUGGACCAUAACGACAAUUAAUGAAUUUCAAUUUGAAUCAGCUACAUCCAAUCAAACCAUUUUAGAUAGGUUAUUGAAUCUAGCAAGGGUAGAAAAUUUUUGUCUUGGUUAAGCCAACUAGGCUGAUAUAGUCCUCCAAAUAUCAUUCCUCUAGCUCGUAUAAACUCCUUGAUGAAGAUCUCUCAUUACAAAAACCAUUUACUCCUCCACAGAAAAAGCUCUUUAUAUAUCCUAAUAAGUUUGUUUAUAAUCCCCAUAUUACAAGCCUAUCAGCAGCUAUAAUAGCCUCGCUAGUAGCGGUGGAUUAUCUAAAAGGUAGUUUUGGAUUUAACCAACACCAUUAAAAAGUGAAUUUAGGUUGUAUUGUUCACAAAAAAGAAUGAUUGAUCUUCUUUUGUGAUAUCGACCAUUGAAUCAUAUCCUGCACAUAUCUCAAAGCAAUCCAAUUUUUUAUUUAGGACUUGCACAAGCCUUGAAGUCACAUUGCGUGAUCCAAUGGUGGAUUUGUGUGAAGGAAGAUGAAUCCUUCUUUCAUGCAAAAGAGAUAACCCCUGUCCUUAAAGAUAGGCUAAAUUUGAUGUAGCAUCUCUCUAAUCCAACAUGGCACAUACUAGGUUCAACGUACGGUGCCGUAACUUCGACCUAACACAACCCAAGCAAGAUCUGAUUUCAACUUAGGACACAUUAAAAGCAAACCAUAGGUUGCUAUUUUUAUAACUCAAUUUUGUUAAAACAGCUAAGAGAUCACAUGAAAUUUUGCAACUACAAAUUCACGGAAUCUAAAUUUUUCAAGAUACAUUUUCUGAGAUCGAACUUGUAGAUUCUGAGGUGCUAUAUGCAUGCUAAUCUUUCUCAAGAAACAUGCAUGCAUCCUAACAUCUGAUAUUGGCCAUGAGGGCUUUAUGACUUCAUCAUAUUUGAGUAGGCCGUGUGUCAUACACUCAUAAUCUAAAUACUUAAGCUAUUGGGAGGAGGAUCGGCCCAGCUUAAUAAAUCUAUAUGGGAUCUUUGUUUUAUUAGUCAAUAUGAAACUGUAAUAAUCUCUCUACCCUCAUAAUAUCCUCGUUGUCCAUGGUGCCUACUUGAAGCGGGGGUCUAUCAAUGGCCUAGGUUCUUCUCAACUCUGGUAUCUCUCAGCAAAUAGUCCAGAUGACUAAUGAAGUUUGAGACGCAUAUAACUUGUCACAGUUUCACGGUCCAAAAAGAAUGCUAUUGGAAGGAGGACCGGCCGAAUUAAUGGACUCUCAUGGCAACGUCAUAUUAGUCAAUAUUGGAGUAUGACAUUUAGUUGCGCUGUCCGGAUAUGAGUGGAUAUCUAGAAGCCUAGUUCUCUGUUCUGUUCUGUGACGCUACCACCGUAAGACCGGCGCCUUGUUGCCCUGCGGCGGCCGCCGCCGCAUUGCGUGGUGCAAUUGGACCGCGCAAAUACCACGGUGGAUAGGACUAUAGUAUUCAUUUAUAGAUGAACAGUUCUUACCCUCAUGGCAAUUGGAUUGGGUCAUCCCGAAUUUGAGUCGGAUUCCGAUCAAAUUAUCAAUCCAAAUGACAUUUAUUUAUUAAAUAAAUUAAAAAUUUAAAUUUAGAUUCAAUCUAUUUAUUAAACAAAUAACUUAUAAUUUAUUUAUUAAUAGAUCAAUUUAAAUUAAAAUUAUUUUUAAUAGAUUAAAAAGAUUUAAAUAGAUUAAACAGCUUAAUUAAAUGGAUCGAACUAAACAUAACAAAAAUAAAUUAAGCCGAAUUUAAACCAAUGAAGUAGGCUUUGAACUGGUUAAAUGGAUUGGAUUAUGAUUCAAUUAAAUUAUUAAAUAAAUUAAAAUAGAAUAAAUAAAUCAAAAAUUUAAAUUUAAUUCUAAUCUAUUUAAUAAAUAGGUAUUCAUCCGCCGGUGAGAAUAAUUAAUAUAAACAUAGGCUGCCACGUGACCACAGCCUGCAUAUUGAUUAUUAUAAAAAAAAGAGAAUGGUUAUUAUAAAUUUAUAGUGCUUUUUAGUCCCUUCCUUUUCCCGUUUUAAUAGCAAUAAAAUGGAAAAAGCGAUAACAGACGUUGCAGUGGGUUAUUGGGCAAUAUAACAAUUUAUUAUAAUCUAAACAAUCUCCAAAUAACUAAGGUUGUCUAGCCUGAAAAUAAUAUUUUAUUAAAUAAACACUUAAAGGGUUGGGCUUUCAUAUAUUAUUUUAAUAUUAAAAAUUUUAAAUCAUAAACUAAGGCUUGGCGCAUAUAUCGAACGAUCGCAAAUGUUUUAGCUCGGAUCCGUCAGAACGUAAAAUACCAUCCACGGAACCCAACCUUGACGUGAGACACCUAACUACCUCUCUCCCACGCACUUCUUUCCUCCCUUCAUUUUCUUAGUCAGCAGUUUAGCAAAGAACGCUAGCCAAAUUUGAAUAAACCAGCAUGCGUUCGUCUUGGUUCCAUACCUACCAUCCCACACAAACCCUCUAUAAAACCCCCAUCCCUUGCUCACCAUUCUCCAUCUCAUUUUCACUCAUCACAACUCANNNNNNNNNNNNNNNNNNNNGUAGUAGUAGUAGUGAAGCCUAGGAAACAAUCCAGUUUAACCAUGAGUCCCUCCACCUGGACCCUUGAGAUCGAGUCCCCGGCCCCCGCCGCAAGGCUGUUCAAGGCCGUCCUCGACUGGCACAACCUGGCCCCUAAGCUCCUGCCCAACAUCGUCGCAAGCGCCGUCGGUGUCCAAGGUGAUGGCAGCGUCGGAAGUGUCCGGCAGCUCAACUUCACCUCAGGUAUAUAUUACAACCCACACCUCUGAAAUUUUCUAGUUUUAAUUAUCUGCAUAUAUUUCAUGUACUUAAGAGUUGGUGCAAUUCAUAUUUGUAGCAAUGCCAUUUGGGUAUGUGAAGGAGCGCCUGGACUUUGUGGACUUCGACAAGUUUGAGUUCAAGCAAAGCCUGGUGGAAGGCGGUGACCUCGGGAAGAAGAUCGAGUCAGCCUCGAGCCAGUUCAAGUUCGAGCAAACCAGCAAGGGAGGGUGCGUGUGCAAGGUGGUGACAACCUAUAAGCCAUUACCAGGAGUUGAGAACAAGGAUGAGGUAGCCAAGGGAAAGGAAGCAGUGACCGGGAUCAUCAAGGCAGCAGAGGCCCACCUCCUGGCCAACACUGGUGCCUACGCUUGAAGUUGUUCGGGUUUGAGCUCAUAUACCUGGUGGUGUGAUAGGACCACAAUCAGCAGGAGUUUGCGUUUGGUGUGAGCGUUUGUGAGGUUGUUCUGGUUGUUUAAUUCCAUGCUUUCCUUUUCUACU